Molecule: long non-coding RNA, 474 nt
Filed under: Homo sapiens (human)
Lineage: Eukaryota; Metazoa; Chordata; Mammalia; Primates; Hominidae
Description: non-protein coding LINC02283:5
Source: RNAcentral
CUCACCCUGCUCUGUGUCUAGAAGAGAGCUGAACACGCAGUAGAACACAAUAAAUUAUAUUCAAAUGGCAGUCAAGGAGGAAACUUUUCUUCCUCAUCAACAAAGCUGAUCGAUGGGGGCUGAAGCCCCAGGGAAGAAGCAUCUGUUGUAACUCAAGGAUCCCGGCUUGAGCUGAGGAUGGAAUUAACAGGCACAGAGUGGUUGGCAGCCCAACGUUUGUGCAAGUCUGGCACAUGCACACAUCAUUAGCAACUAUGCUGGAGAAGAAUGAUCAAGGAGGUGAGGAGGGGAAUGGAUCUGAUUAAAGGGAUGUUCAAGAAAGGAAAUUCCAAGCACUUGGGUAAAAGCUUCAUAGCUAAAAUGAAUGAACUCGUGAGCAAAGCAAACAGCCAGGUACAUUUGGGAGAUGCUGACAGACAAUCUGGAUAAUUUUGCCUCUGAAACUUUCAAAACAAAGUCAUUUCAUGCAGUGAA